This is a long non-coding RNA of Lates calcarifer (barramundi perch), 1954 nucleotides long. RefSeq lists it as uncharacterized. Lineage: Eukaryota; Metazoa; Chordata; Actinopteri; Centropomidae. The transcript has 3 exons. The record is from RefSeq and is a predicted model, not a curated record.
AGAGACACACACACACACACACACACACACACACACUCACUUCUUUUGUCAACUUGUAUAUAUCUGAAAACAUGAAUACUGGUUAAUGAUCACUGUGAAAUUGUUUUGUGAAAACAUUUUGGAUUAUGACUGUAUUGUUUAUGUCAAAUGAUUAUAAAAUAAAUAAAAUAAAAAACAAAAACAGGACACAUUUUUGAACACAUUGGGGACUAAAAUGGCUUUAAGAACCCCCUGAGAUUGAAUGGCAUCACUGAGACACGGAAUUGGCGGCAGACACAUGGACGCCAAUCAACACACAUGUAGAACACCAGUCAACACAACUAUAUUACUCUGAGCUCUUCUGGGGGUACUUGAUGCAGGCAUUUAACAGAUAUUUUUACAUCACUUUGGCUAUGCAAGGCUCUGACUUGCACAACACUGACACAGUGCAACUCAGGACCUCAAAAAGCCCCACUCCAUUUUGUUCUCCACCCCUUAAGUUUUUUUUUCCUAACGAGGCGCCGUUGGCUGCCUGCUGACCUACUCUAUCCCAUUAGUAUAUCGAAGGAAACCCGCUCGGUAAAGGAGAGGGAGCAGUUCAACAGGGCCAGGAAGAUUGUGGAGAGGAUCACUGCAGACCAACUGCGAUCUUUGGUGAAAAACUACUACCAGCGCUGCACCAUCCUCCCUGGAAAGUCUUUCCCCCACCCGUGCAGUCAGGCACGAGUCAGGAGUAUCCAAGAGACCCAGGAGUAUCCAAUCCACCAGGUCAAUUAACUGAGUUUCCCACCAAGCUUUCAUACUCUGGAACACCCACCACAGAUUCUUCAUUUUUAACUUCACUUUUCUACGUUUUCAUGUUUUUUUUUUUGUUUGUUUUUUUGUUUUUUUUUGGUGUGUGUGUUUUUGGUUUUUCUUUUCUCCUUUUUCUUUUUUAAAUGUAUAUAAUACAUUACAACCCAGCUACAGUCAUUGAUUGAAGCUUUUCUUAUCAGUGCUGAACAUGACCGUAACACUCUUGUCCUCAAUCACAGCUCUUCAUCCUCUGUGGGCCACACAGGCCAGGAAAAUCUCUCAACGAGUGAGUUUGAUGUAGCCCCAGAUGCAAAUCUGGCCACGAAUCUCACAGCAUUGGCAGAUAUCAGCCAGGAUCUCAUUGCCAUCCCUGCUGAAGAACUGUUUACAUCCCAGCAAACACAAGAGGUUAAUAUCAAUGUAGUAACCAACUAACUGUGCAUUGUCCCUGCGCAGUCUGCGUUGUCUCCAGGCCUGUGAAUCCGCUCCUUGUUACUGACUUUAACAACAAUAAUUGUAAACGUUUUGACAUGAGAGGACCAUAAUUAUUCUUUUCACUUCUGAAUGAACUUCAUAUAACUCACCCAGACCAAUUUGUACAAUUAAUCUUUGGUGUUUCCUGUCAGCAGUGUGAUUUGUCAGAGGAGAUAGAUGCCCUGCUGGCUUCUCUUUUAGAUGGUGAAACACAUAUUCCAGCAAACACCGGAUGUGAACACUUUCAGGCCCCGUCUUGAAACCAUCAAUUUUGAACAGUGGGAUGGCCUUUGAAAUCAAGACUGAUCUCAUCCACCUGCUCCUCCUCCUCAUCAUCACCAUUCACCCACUUCUACACAAUCUGCAUCUUGCACAAUUAAUUUUCAGUAUUACUUUUUGCACUUUACAUCCCACUCGUAUGCACAUUGUCUUAUAUCUUAUUUUUAUUAUUUGUAUAUUAUGUUGAUAUGUGCCGAUGCGUGUGUAUUGUAUUUUCUAUUGGCUUUUUUGUACAGAAAGUUUACCUUUAUUUUUUAUUUACUUAUUUCUGUUUCUAUUUAUUUGUAAGUAAAUAAAGACACAAGUUCAAAACAAAGUUCUUCGGUUUGGAUAGAAAAGGUUGUCUUCCAGUAACUCCAGCCGUUUCUGUCUGAGAAUGAGAUGUUAGACAUCUUCUAGUCUGUAUUAAUACCUGGACUUGUAUAUA